Molecule: non-coding RNA, 3776 nt
Organism: Sus scrofa (pig)
Lineage: Eukaryota; Metazoa; Chordata; Mammalia; Artiodactyla; Suidae
Source: RefSeq, a predicted model, not a curated record
AACUACCAAAAAAGAAAAAAAUAGAAAAUGAUGUUAGUGUGAAAUGAGGUGUCCUGUCUGAACUCACCAUGACUCAGUUGUUUAACUGAGUUUUCCCCCGCGUCCCCUGAGUCAUAACAACACUAUGUAAAGAAGGCAGGGAGUGCACCUUGUUUGUACAGAGCCUACCAGAUUUUGCAGUACUUCCCUAAAUGUCUAACAGACUGCUUCUUUGACUCUCAGAUCAGAGUGAAGACAAUUUCAAGGGCAAAUAAAGGGAGAAAGACUGGGUCUUUCGACUAUGGCCCAGUUCUCUUGCAAAUAUGGGGCCUCUGGGUUCUUGCAAAGACUCUCCCUGGAGCACAGCAAUAGAGCUCAUCAGAAUCACUAAGGAUUCUGUGUGAGUAGCCAGCUAUAGGCCUGUAGGUCUUUUCUCCUUGCCCAGGCUCUAUAAUCCUCGCCAAGCUCAGGGACAGGAGAAGGAGAAAUAAUAAACUGAACAUUCAUACCUUCCAAAAGUUCUGCUAAACUGAGACUCUCUGAGAAAUCUUUCAACAAUAUUUAUGAAUGAAAUUUUUUAAAAGUUUCUUAGAUGAAUGUUCCAAACAUCUUUAAGUGCUGAAAAAAAAAAAAAAAAAAAAAAGGACUCUGCUAAUACCCUUUGCAUGAGCUCAGUCUAUUUUGCUCUUGCCUCCAGCUGUUGCAUGAGUUAGGGUCAUAUUUGGAAGGACAGCUCAUUGGGUUGGGAAGGUCCUGGAAGGGAGUGCGGAAGAGGAGGGGUGCAGAGAUGCCAGACAGUCAGGAGAGCCAGCAGACGUGUGUGGACAGACUCAGCAAGCUCUGCUUACUGCUGGAGUGUGGCUGCCUGAAAUGGAAUCUAAGGAUCGGCCUCAGGAGUGCAGGAGGACCAUGGCCUGUCUGUGAACCUGGCAGUGAACUCUCCUAGAAAGUGCUUUUUCUCAAGGUCCUUGACUCUCAGGGGGACCUUCGCUUUGAAUUUAAAUUAAUUGAGAGCUCUGUUAAUAUAAUCGAGCGCACCUUCCCAUCCCUGCCAUCCACAAAGAAAAGGACAUUCAAAAAGUUUUCCUUUUAUUAAGGCCUGUCCUGAAGUUUUAAGGUAUGAUGAAAUGUGAGACUGGAAAAGUUUCGCUUUCUCCAGAGGAAGAUGCAAUAGCCAAUCAAUAUCUCUCUCUUAUCUUAACCUAAGCUUUGACUUAAAGCAAAUAACAAAUGUCCAAAAACAUCUGGCUCUCAUUUCCUGGAUGAAAUGCGGGCAUGAACUAACCACCCCUCCAUACGUAAACUUCUCUCCACAAAUUAGCGCAUGGAAUAAGGCAGUGAUCCUUUCAAAUAAGUAUUUAGUGGAUAAAAUGAAUGAUCCUCAGAAAAACACAUCAAAAGUAUCCUGGGACAUAGCAAAGAGUUAAUUUAGCUCUCCUCAUUUUCAGUAAUGUAUUAAGCUAUGGAUGAAAUUGGGACUCUGAGUCUAUACGACACCUUUGAAAAGGUGUCCUUAUAUAUCAUCCAUGCUAUUUUUUAAAAAAGUGACAUCUAUCAUAUUCUUAUGACUCAAGUUCCUAAUCUGAGAAAAACUUACCUAGUUCCUACCUCGCACACUUGUGAGUAUUAAUGAUGCCACAUGUAAGCACGAUUCCUGGCACAGAGGAUGCCCUUAGCAAAUGGCAGCUGACCAUUCUUCUAAGUAAGAGACAGUGAGAAGCAGUGACCUGGAGCCCUGGCCUAUGGAGGCCUGUAAUUCUGUUGCAAAGGCCCACUGGAGUCCCACCUUGGAUAGACUGUUGUGCAGAGAGCGCUGCUGGUACUUUAGCCAUAAAUUGCCCUUGCGUUGAUCCCAUGCUAAACCGGUCGUAUGCGUUUCAUUAAUUUUAAGAAAUAAUGUUUAUCUGAAUUUUGGAGAUCAUGGAAAUCAUCUCUUCUGAGCGGUUUUCCUCCCAGUCUGUCUGGGUUUUAUAAGGACGUCCGCCCUUCCUGAGCACCACAAGACGGUCUGACCGUGAGUGAUGACAGAGAGGUCUUUGGCUCGGGAAAGGCUACCAGGGUCCAGGAGAGGCUUGGGAGGAUGGGCCUGUGGGAGAAGCAUGUGUUUGUUUUCCCUGGAGGUGCAUGGGACCUCGGGGCAGUGAGUCAUUACUGACCAAACCCAGUUUACUGAAGAGAAGAGAACUGAAUUUAGAGCCCAGACUAUUUGAGGAAGGCUGUCUCCUGUCCCCUCAACGGCACAGUCGGCAACAGCAAAAGAGCAACAAACUGAUCCCAGCAUGUGUCUUGGUAUCUCACCCACAAGGAUUCAUGAAUGAGAUCUUCAGGUCCAGGACCCAUACUCACUGCGCAGAGAGUCUGGUAGUUGGCGAGCAACUUGGAAGGAAGAAUUCAGCAACUCACAGAGGUUGCGAAGCCAGAGGUUGCAUUUCAUGGCAUAGUGGCUGGGGUAUUUGAUUCUCUUUCUGUAGUGGAAAUUCCCACCAAGCCUGUGGUGACCAAAAGGGAAGAGAAAGUUACUUACACGUCUGGGCCCACUGGGCCAUCUCUUUUGACCCCUGAUAUGUGCACAAGUACUCAGGUACCACGAGAGUUCCAGCUCUCCAGCAGAAAGCUGGGCAUCGUUAAGCGUUACCCAAGAUCCAGAGAUAAUUUUCUUCCUUGCAUCCUCCAUGUUUCCCUUCACACCAUUUGUCAAGAUUCAGAUGCCAUCAUUACCUGGAUGCAGACCUGUUUCUUGGGCAUAGAGGAGAGCCACAGCACAGGCGACACCCGGGUGAGAAUCGCCUUUGGAACGCCACGCAGUAAAGGAAUUCAUGUCGCUCAACACAGACCGCUUAAUUCACCUGCAAGGACAACAGAACCUUGGAUUUUGCCCUACUUUAAGAGGAGGUCUCUCUGUGUAUUUGUGUGUGUACAUGCCUGUGUGUGCAUGUUGGUUAUGCUGCUGAAAAAGAAGAAAGUUCGUUGCCGGAAACUGUCCAGAGUUACAGGAAUUCAUGUCACUUAACAUUUUGCCCUACUUAAGAGAAGGGAGGGGUGUGUGUGUGUGUGUGUGAGUGAGUGUGUGAAUGCAUGCCUGUGUGUUCAUGUGUGUUAUGCUGGUGAAAAAGAAGAAAACUCAUUGCCAGAAACUGUCCAGGAAUCUUCACCAGCAUAAAACUAAAACCUUGGUGGAAACGGCUCACAGGCAGUCCAGACAAAGUGCUGGUGUCGGAUCUCUUCUGAGUGAGCAGAGAAAGAGACGUGUGGGGCUGUGACGUCUGAGACAGAGGGAGGAGUCAGGCCCAGGGGAGAGGAAGAGAAGGGAGGUGGAUGGCUGUGCGGCUUUAUCAGGGGUUUCCAUCCACAGCCAAAACGGACCAAGAAGAGAAGAGAAAAGGAGACCGAAACCUUUGAGUCCUGCUCAGUCGUGACUGAAUGUUUUAUAAAAGCACAUCUCUCUUGUUUACAAGGCAACUGCUUUCUCAGGCGAUUUGUAUGUGUUAACAAAUAGCUUUUCAGUGGCAGAAAUCUAGAAACAUGGCAUAGAGCAAAUCUCUUCUAAGAGAAUUCUACACAACAAGAGACUGCACUAAGCAACCCAUUAGAAUAGAAGGUCUUUCAGGGAAGGGAUGUAUCUGAUGUACUGAGUUAAUCCAGUCCCUCAGGCCUACACAUUGGAGGUCUUCAGGAAACUUUAAUGAAAUCCUGAUGCUUGGAGAGUAAAAACAGUCAAUGGAUAAGUGAGUAUGAAACAGCUAUAUCCAACACCCCCUUUUAUAGACUCACAAUGCAUAUUAAAGACUCUUAGAAUA